CGAGCGGAGAAAUGGGAGCUUGCUCCCAUUUCUCAGCGGCGGACGGGUGAGUAACACGUGGGCAACCUGCCCUACAGACUGGGAUAACUCCGGGAAACCGGAGCUAAUACCGGGUAAUACAUAGCAUCGCAUGAUGCAACGUUGAAAGUUGGCCUUUGGCUAACACUGGAGGAUGGGCCCGCGGCGCAUUAACUAGUUGGGAAGGGAACGGCUUACCAAGGGCACGAUGCGUAACCGAACUGAAAGGGUGAUCGGCCACACUGGGACUGAAACACGGCCCAAACUCCUACGGGAGGCAGCAGUAGGGAAUCUUCCGCAAUGGACGAAAGUCUGACGGAACAACGCCCCGUGAGUGACGAAGGCCUUCGGGUCGUAAAGCUCUGUUGUUAGGGAAGAACAAGUACCGUUCGAAUAGGGCGGUACCUUGACGGUACCUAACCAGAAAGCCACGGCUAACUACCUGCCAGCAGCCGCGGUAAUACGUAAGUGGCAAGCGUUGUCCGGAAUUAUUGGGCGUAAAGCGCGCGCAGGGCGUCUCUUAAGUCUGAU
RNAcentral lists this ribosomal RNA (549 nucleotides) under Bacillus sp. HPB36. RNAcentral's name for it is "bacterial SSU rRNA". It matches the Rfam family "Bacterial small subunit ribosomal RNA", at positions 63 to 593 of the family's 1533-position model. Lineage: Bacteria; Bacillati; Bacillota; Bacilli; Caryophanales; Bacillaceae. The record is from RNAcentral.